Molecule: unclassified non-coding RNA, 2023 nt
Filed under: Hevea brasiliensis (rubber tree)
Lineage: Eukaryota; Viridiplantae; Streptophyta; Magnoliopsida; Malpighiales; Euphorbiaceae
Source: RNAcentral
CCAAGGUAAAAAAAAGAAACUGUCAAUCCCAUUCAUACAGAAAAUUCCUCUCAAUGCCACCGGAGCACUGGCCAAGAAAGAAGGCCUCCUCACUCAAAUAGAAUUAUCAUAAGAGGAAAAAAAAUUGCAAAAACGGGUUUUAAAAGGCAUUUGAAAUAUGCUGAAGUGUAGGUUGAGUAUCAUUGCAAUAAGCUUGAGCACUACAGAUGGUAACUAGUUGCCUGAUUUUAUUAGACCUUUUGUUUUCAGAAAUACACGUCAUCCACCGAAAGAGGUUACAUUGUACUCGCCAUUCAUCUGCUUCGUAUUUAUGCCAUCGAUAGCGCAAGUCUCUCAAAAAUGUGUAUCCCCCAGCUGAAUUGUUGGCCACACAUGCACAAGUUUCAAAAAUUCUCCCGCCAGCACAGUUGUUGAAAUUGGAUUCUCACUGCAAGCAAGAAAGUUACUGUCCACAAAUUUUGUGGUUUGCAAGCCUCUAUGACACUUCGAUAUACAAAUAUGGUGGCAAUCAGUGUUAUAAAAUUAACAAAUGUUUAAAUCUUUUACUGGUUCAUCAUCAUCUUCAAUAUCCCAACUUAAAUCCUCCUCUUCUUCUGCAGCACUCAACCCCUUUCGCAUAUCAAUCUUGUUUGGACUUCCACUGUGACUCACUUUCUUCUCAUCAAUGCUGCUCAGAUCCUCAAUCUCAUCCCACCCAAGAUCUUCCUCCUCAGGCAUUGAUAGAUGGCUGGAUAUAACAGAAACAUCACUAUCUUUAGAAGAUUCACCGUUAUCACCCUUCCCUUCUGAUCCCGCUUUCUCGUCAGAUAUUGAUAGUGUCUCUUCUUUACUCUUCUUCUCCAAAUCCAAUUUAUCACCGGCUACAUUGUCACCACCACUCAAUAUCUUCUCUUCCUUUGAUUCCACGACAGAGAUUUCCUCCUUCACAUUCAUAGUUUGCUCAGUCUGUCCAAUGCUCGCCUUAUUAAUUUCAUCUCCCUUCACAAUUUGCUCUGAUUGUUUAUCAUGCAUGUCCUUCUCCUCAUCUUCGGUAAUUUUUGCAGAAUCUUUGCUACCCAAAUGGCCAUUUUGCUUGAAAUUGGCCUUCGAAGCGGAAUUCCUCUCAUCUUCCUUCUUCACGUUCUCUUCAUCAUCAUCAAAUUCCCAACUCAAGUCGUCCUCUUCGGUCGAAAUUGCUCGCUUCACAAGAUUAGCUCUCACGUCUUCAGCUUGCUUGAGCUUAUAUAGCUUAAAAUAGUAUCUACACCAAAAUGUCUCCUCAUCAACACUAUUGGGCACAACCUUUUUGUAUAUACUCUCCGCAGCACCAUUCUCCGCAAGCAAGUUUUCAAUCUCCUCUCUCUUCUCCUCCAAAACAAACCUUAAUUUCCAUUUCUUGUAAUCCUCCAAAUCCUGUGUCUCCUCACAGUACGUGCUUGCAUCACCUUGAAUCGCCCGUACCUGAGCAUCAAAACGACUAUAUGGUUUCGAAUUCAAGCUCUGCUGACUAGUAAUACUCUUCUCGUUAUUAUUAUCUGAUGAAUCGGAUUCGUGAUCGGCGGCAAGGAUUGCCUCUUUGCCCUGUGAAAUGAUCUGGACCGUAUUUUUCAACACGGAACUACCAACCUCGUCAAUGGCGUGCCCCACGGUCUCUAAAGAUCCAUGUGCCACCUCGAUCUCCUUCUUAAGACCCGACCCAAAUUCCUUCAGAUCGCGACGGUAGAUUUCAAUGACGGAUUCGGAUUUCGUUGAUAGGGUUUUGAUCAGACCCCCGAAGCUCCACCCGGCACCACUGCUGGACCCAAUAUCAGAACGGUCAGGCUUAGAAUUUUGCAGUUUAGGUGGGGAGCUGGGACCUGAGUCCGAUGGUGGUCGAUCAGAGGAGGGUUUAGAUUCGGAAUCGGAUUUAGGAAAAUCUGGUUCGUCUGCAAAUACUGAUUUGAAGAAAUCCAUCGGGAAUUCUAAAAGAAUGGUUAAGGAAGUGAUUGAGUUGCAAGAACAUUAAGAAAUAAGCGCCUUUGUAAUGCCAAAAUGAGCAGAGGCG